CCCGCUGAAUUUAAGCAUAUUAAUAAGCGGAGGAAAAGAAACUAACAAGGAUUCCCUCAGUAACGGCGAGUGAAGCGGGAAGAGCUCAAAUUUGAAAUCUCCGAUGCCUGCAUCGGCGAGUUGUAGUUGCGAGAAGCACUUUCUAGGUGGAUCGGCGGUGCCUAAGUUGCUUGGAACAGCACGUCGCAGAGGGUGACAACCCCGUCUGUGGCGCCGCCGGCCGCUGACGAUGUGCUUUCGAAGAGUCGGGUUGUUUGGGAAUGCAGCCCAAAAUGGGUGGUAAACUCCAUCUAAAGCUAAAUAUUGGCGUGAGACCGAUAGCGAACAAGUACCGUGAGGGAAAGAUGAAAAGAACUUUGAAAAGAGAGUUAAAAAGUACGUGAAACCGUCGAAAGGGAAACGAAUGGACUCAGCAAUGCGCCCUCUGAGAUUCAGCCGGUGGGUGGGGUCGGCGCCGGGUUUGCGGAUCUGAAUGGACCGCGGCUCGGCGCUCGCUUCUCCCCCGCCGUCGCACUUCUCUGGGGCGCGCGUCAACGUGGGUUGGGACUGGGUCUGAAAGGUGCCGGGAAGGUAGGUGUGGACCUUCGGGUCCGUUCUGUUACAGCCCGGUUCUCUCAUGGCUCGGGCCCGACCGAGGAGCGACAGGGCAUGCCUCCUGUGGCUAGGGUCCCGUCCUUCCGGCCGGCUGUCCAGUGCGGUGGACUGCGUGCAGUGCUCUGCGACGGCUGCCGGUCGUUGGGGUGGUGAUCUCGUACCAUGCCCUUGGGAUGUUGGCGGUCAUAUGGGUGC
Molecule: ribosomal RNA, 789 nt
Filed under: Paragoniastrea australensis
Lineage: Eukaryota; Metazoa; Cnidaria; Anthozoa; Scleractinia; Merulinidae
Description: partial large subunit ribosomal RNA
Rfam family: Eukaryotic large subunit ribosomal RNA
Source: RNAcentral